This 472-nucleotide ribosomal RNA is filed under the name uncultured bacterium. RNAcentral's name for it is "bacterial SSU rRNA". It matches the Rfam family "Bacterial small subunit ribosomal RNA", at positions 335 to 798 of the family's 1533-position model. The record is from RNAcentral.
ACUCCUACGGGAGGCAGCAGUGGGGAAUAUUGCACAAUGGGCGCAAGCCUGAUGCAGCCAUGCCGCGUGUAUGAAGAAGGCCUUCGGGUUGUAAAGUACUUUCAGCAGUGAGGAAGGUGGGUAUGUUAAUAGCAUACUCAUUUGACGUUAGCUGCAGAAGAAGCACCGGCUAACUCCGUGCCAGCAGCCGCGGUAAUACGGAGGGUGCGAGCGUUAAUCGGAAUUACUGGGCGUAAAGCGCAUGCAGGUGGUUUGUUAAGUCAGAUGUGAAAGCCCGGGGCUCAACCUCGGAAUUGCAUUUGAAACUGGCAAACUAGAGUACUGUAGAGGGGGGUAGAAUUUCAGGUGUAGCGGUGAAAUGCGUAGAGAUCUGAAGGAAUACCGGUGGCGAAGGCGGGCCCCCUGGACAGAUACUGACACUCAGAUGCGAAAGCGUGGGGAGCAAACAGGAUUAGAUCCCCUGGUAGGCUCU